CAUUAGUAUGGAUGUAGACUUAGUACUAGAUGCCCUACUGUAUAUAACUAAUCCAAUAACAACAUGUUGGGUAUCAACUCUUACAUUAGUAUGGAUGUAGACUUAGUACUAGAUGCCCUACUGUAUCUAACUAAUCCAAUAACAACAUGUUGGGUAUCAACUCUUACAUUAGUAUGGAUGUAGACUUAGUACUAGAUGCCCUACUGUAUCUAACUAAUCCAAUAACAACAUGUUGGGUAUCAACUCUUACAUUAGUAUGGAUGUAGACUUAGUACUAGAUGCCCUACUGUAUCUAACUAAUCCAAUAACAACAUGUUGGGUAUCAACUCUUACAUUAGUAUGGAUGUAGACUUAGUACUAGAUGCCCUACUGUAUCUAACUAAUCCAAUAACAACAUGUUGGGUAUCAACUCUUACAUUAGUAUGGAUGUAGACUUAGUACUAGAUGCCCUACUGUAUCUAACUAAUCCAAUAACAACAUGUUGGGUAUCAACUCUUACAUUAGUAUGGAUGUAGACUUAGUACUAGAUGCCCUACUGUAUCUAACUAAUCCAAUAACAACAUGUUAGGUAUCAACUCUUACAUUAGUAUGGAUGUAGACUUAGUACUAGAUGCCCUACUGUAUCUAACUAAUCCAAUAACAACAUGUUAGGUAUCAACUCUUACAUUAGUAUGGAUGUAGACUUAGUACUAGAUGCCCUACUGUAUCUAACUAAUCCAAUAACAACAUGUUAGGUAUCAACUCUUACAUUAGUAUGGAUGUAGACUUAGUACUAGAUGCCCUACUGUAUCUAACUAAUCCAAUAACAACAUGUUAGGUAUCAACUCUUACAUUAGUAUGGAUGUAGACUUAGUACUAGAUGCCCUACUGUAUCUAACUAAUCCAAUAACAACAUGUUAGGUAUCAACUCUUACAUUAGUAUGGAUGUAGACUUAGUACUAGAUGCCCUACUGUAUCUAACUAAUCCAAUAACAACAUGUUGGGUAUCAACUCUUACAUUAGUAUGGAUGUAGACUUAGUACUAGAUGCCCUACUGUAUCUAACUAAUCCAAUAACAACAUGUUGGGUAUCAACUCUUACAUUAGUAUGGAUGUAGACUUAGUACUAGAUGCCCUACUGUAUCUAACUAAU
Long non-coding RNA from Oncorhynchus keta (chum salmon), 1131 nucleotides. RefSeq lists it as uncharacterized. NCBI's taxonomy places the organism in Eukaryota, Metazoa, Chordata, Actinopteri, Salmoniformes, Salmonidae. The record is from RefSeq and is a predicted model, not a curated record. The transcript has 3 exons.